GGAUGAACGCUGGCGGCGUGCCUAAUACAUGCAAGUCGAGCGAACAGACGAGGAGCUUGCUCCUCUGACGUUAGCGGCGGACGGGUGAGUAACACGUGGAUGACCUACCUAUAAGACUGGGAUAACUUCGGGAAACCGGAGCUAAUACCGGAUAAUAUAUUGAACCGCAUGGUUCAAUAGUGAAAGACGGUUUUGCUGUCACUUAUAGAUGGAUCCGCGCCGCAUUAGCUAGUUGGUAAGGUAACGGCUUACCAAGGCAACGAUGCGUAGCCGACCUGAGAGGGUGAUCGGCCACACUGGAACUGAGACACGGUCCAGACUCCUACGGGAGGCAGCAGUAGGGAAUCUUCCGCAAUGGGCGAAAGCCUGACGGAGCAACGCCGCGUGAGUGAUGAAGGUCUUCGGAUCGUAAAACUCUGUUAUUAGGGAAGAACAAAUGUGUAAGUAACUAUGCACGUCUUGACGGUACCUAAUCAGAAAGCCACGGCUAACUACGU
Molecule: ribosomal RNA, 497 nt
Filed under: uncultured bacterium
Lineage: Bacteria
Description: partial 16S ribosomal RNA
Rfam family: Bacterial small subunit ribosomal RNA
Source: RNAcentral